Molecule: ribosomal RNA, 1169 nt
Filed under: uncultured eukaryote
Lineage: Eukaryota
Description: bacterial SSU rRNA
Rfam family: Eukaryotic small subunit ribosomal RNA
Source: RNAcentral
UAUGAAUCUCAUGUCUCAAGAUUAAGCCAUGCAUGUCUAAGUACACACUGUGGCACAGUGAAGCCGCGAAUGGCUCAUUAAAUCAGUUAUGGUUUAUUAGAUCGUGCGUUCCUAUGUGGAUAACUGUGGUAAUUCUAGAGCUAAUACAUGCAACUGGUCCUGACUUUGUUGGAAGGACGCUCUUAUUAGAUCAAAACCAAUCCGGUUCGCCGGUUGUUGUGAUGACUCUGGAUAAUUUUGUGCCGACCGCAUGGCCUUGAGCCGGCGGCGUAUCUUUCAAAUGUCUGCCCUAUCAACUUUCGAUGGUAGGUGACAUGCCUACCAUGGUUGUAACGGGUAACGGAGAAUCAGGGUUCGAUUCCGGAGAGGGAGCCUGAGAAACGGCUACCACAUCCAAGGAAGGCAGCAGGCGCGCAAAUUACCCACUCCCGGCACGGGGAGGUAGUGACGAAAAAUAACAAUACGAGACUCAUCCGAGGCUUCGUAAUUGGAAUGGGUACACUUCAAAUCCUUUAACGAGGAACAAUUGGAGGGCAAGUCUGGUGCCAGCAGCCGCGGUAAUUCCAGCUCCAAUAGCGUAUAUUAAAGUUGCUGCGGUUAAAAAGCUCGUAGUUGGAUCUCGGCGGGCAGCCGGGCGGUCUGCAUUGCUGCAGCCACUGCUCUGGUUUUUGUUUUGCCCGUGUUUGUUAUUUGCUGGUUUGCCAGGCCGGUGAUCUUGAUCGGUCGUCGGCCCUGGGUCAGCAGUUUUACUUUGAAAAAAUUAGGGUGCUCAAAGCAGGCUGUUGACAGCUUGAAUAUUCGUGCAUGGAAUAAUGGAAUAGGAGGCCGUUCCUAUUUUGUUGGUUUUCGGGAACCGACUUAAUGAUUAACGGGGACUGUCGGGGGCAUUUGUAUUCAGCCGCUAGAGGUGAAAUUCUUGGACCGGCUGAAGACAAACUACUGCGAAAGCAUUUGCCAAGGAUGUUUUCAUUAAUCAAGAACGAAAGUUAGAGGUUCGAAGGCGAUUAGAUACCGCCCUAGUUCUAACCAUAAACGAUGCCAGCCAGCGAUCGCGUGUAUUCUUAACGACCCAGCGGGGAGCUCGGAAAUCAAGCUGGUGGUUCAGGAGGUAUGCUGCAAGCUGAACUUAAGUAAUUGACGGAAGGGCACCACCAGGGCUGGGAGCCUGU